RNAcentral lists this ribosomal RNA (497 nucleotides) under uncultured bacterium. Its description in RNAcentral is "partial 16S ribosomal RNA". It matches the Rfam family "Bacterial small subunit ribosomal RNA", at positions 28 to 507 of the family's 1533-position model. The record is from RNAcentral.
GAUGAACGCUGGCGGCGUGCCUAAUACAUGCAAGUCGAGCGAACAGACGAGGAGCUUGCUCCUCUGACGUUAGCGGCGGACGGGUGAGUAACACGUGGAUAACCUACCUAUAAGACUGGGAUAACUUCGGGAAACCGGAGCUAAUACCGGAUAAUAUAUUGAACCGCAUGGUUCAAUAGUGAAAGACGGUUUUGCUGUCACUUAUAGAUGGAUCCGCGCCGCAUUAGCUAGUUGGUAAGGUAACGGCUUACCAAGGCAACGAUGCGUAGCCGACCUGAGAGGGUGAUCGGCCACCAUGGAACUGAGACAAGGUCCAGACGCCUAAGGGGGGCAGCAGUAGGGAAUCUCCCGCAAUGGGCGAAAGCCUGACGGAGCAACGCCGCGUGAGUGAUGAAGGUCUUCGGAUCGUAAAACUCUGUUAUUAGGGAAGAACAAAUGUGUAAGUAACUAUGCACGUCUUGACGGUACCUAAUCAGAAAGCCACGGCUAACUACGUG